CGCAUUAUACUGGUGGGCGACCUAGAACUUAAAUGUAUUUCCGCAUUAUACUGGUGGGCGACCUAGAACUUACAUGUAUUCCCGCAUUAUACUGGUGGGCGACCUAGAACUUAAAUGUAUUCCCGCAUUAUACUUGUGGGCGACCUAGAACUUAAAUGUAUUCCCGCAUUAUACUGGGGGGCGACCUAGAACUUACAUGUAUUCCCGCAUUAUACUGGUGGGCGACCUAGAACUUAAAAGUAUUCCCGCAUUAUACUGGUGGGCGAUCUAGAACUUAAAUGUAUUCCCGCAUUAUA
This 296-nucleotide long non-coding RNA is filed under the name Nicotiana tabacum (common tobacco). RNAcentral's name for it is "long non-coding RNA (NTAB_LNC008973)". The record is from RNAcentral. Lineage: Eukaryota; Viridiplantae; Streptophyta; Magnoliopsida; Solanales; Solanaceae.